GAUUUGGAGAGCGGAGGAAUGAUGGAGAGCAGAGAGGAGAGGCUUGGAGAUGAGGAAACUGAGGCUCAGAGAAGUUGAGGGACUGGCUCAGAGAUGUACAGCUUGGAAUUGCCAGAGCCAGCCUGGAAGACCAGCAGUCUCGCUCCAAUUGCACACUAUUUUCUCUGAGGCUCUGCAUUGUUGGAUGAAGGGUCUGAGGGGCUGGAGAGGAAGAAACAACGCAAAGAUGAGGCAGCAGAAGGGAAAUCGAGGUUCUGGGGGCUUCCAGCCUCAUGCUGCUUGCUCUCUCCUGAAUCCGUCGUUGGUCUUUCUGUCCUAAUCCGACCACUCCAUUGCCAGCCUCCAUUUCUCUGAAUGUUGAUAGAAGAGCUCCGGACUCUUUCCAGCUUUCCAGACUUUUCCACCCACACAGACUCAAGGGUCCUCCCAACUGUCCUGUGAAAAGAGGCCAUCGCAUUCCACAGGAGGGGAAACAGGCUUGGAGAAGGCACAUGGUCCCAUGAAGCUUCACUGUGGCUCUUUGGACUCUUCCUGGUCCCUCUGCCUGUCCUGGGCCUGCCAUCAUUCCACCUCCAGGUCUGCCUGCUGCCUACAUCUCUCCUCCCCCUCUCACCUUGCCCUGCACUGCAGCUGCCACCACCUCCAGCAGCCCUUUACACCAACAUCCUAAAGCGAUAAUGCCAUGAUGUUCCUGGCUUUUUCAAAACCCUUUUCCUAGAGUGUGUUCACCAGAAUGGCAGUCCCACGAGGAUCUCUGCGAUGAAAGGGCUUCAUGGUCAAAUAGUUUGGGAAAUGUGGCUUCCUUUGUCCCUUCCUUCUCAGUUUGCCAAAUUUAAUUAUGCCACACCCCCAUGCACCUUCUUUUGUUUCAUGAUAUCAUUAUUUAAUACCCCAUUUUGGAAUAUUAUCUAAGAAAUGUGGCCUGAGGAAUGAAGUUCAAAUCUCUCCUCUUGGCAUCCAAAGGGCUUCACCAUCAGAUCUCAACCUUGUUUUCCACUGUGCCUCUCUUGGAUGUCCAGAGCCCUUGCCCUCCCCUCAGUAGUCCCCGGUGUCCACAAAAUCCAUGAUCUCACCCUCCCUAUUUUUUCUCAGACCUCUCCACUCCUGUCAUGUAUCUCAGAGCUCUGUUUUUCCAGGGACACCCCCAACCUCUCACCCCUUGGCGGUGCACUGAGUGCUGCAUCUCACUCAGCCAUUGGUUGGGUGCAAAGUAAAUUUUCUUUCCAGGCA
RNAcentral lists this long non-coding RNA (1230 nucleotides) under Pongo abelii (Sumatran orangutan). Its description in RNAcentral is "lincRNA". The record is from RNAcentral. Lineage: Eukaryota; Metazoa; Chordata; Mammalia; Primates; Hominidae.